This is a long non-coding RNA of Solanum stenotomum, 250 nucleotides long. RefSeq lists it as uncharacterized. NCBI's taxonomy places the organism in Eukaryota, Viridiplantae, Streptophyta, Magnoliopsida, Solanales, Solanaceae. The transcript has 2 exons. The record is from RefSeq and is a predicted model, not a curated record.
CACAAAUAAAGAGACCUCCUCUUUUCCCAUCACUGCUCACUCUUCAGUGUUGUCUCCAUAUCUUCUCUGAGGUAUCUUUGAGGGUUUGGCGUCAUUGGUGGACAUCGGAGGUGGAAGCAACUGGUUAUUGUUGAAGCUUUUCCGGUAAUUACAUGAGAAGAAUUGAAGAAGAGAUAAUAAUAAUAAGAAGACUUACCACCUUGCAAAAAGAUUGAAUCUUUUUGUAUUCUUGAAAAGAUAAAUCUGAGAG